AUGGCGGACGUCGUAGACCCCAGCUCCGGGCCGCCCCGCCCGCUGCCUCCGCCGCCCGACAGCCCCAGCCCCGAGGACCGCCCCGUGCCGCUGCCCCCGCCCCCGCCGCCGCCGCCCGGCGGGCCCCCGCCCACCCGCAAGCGGAGCCGCUCGCCCCCGCGGCCCUCCCUGCCGCCGCCGCCGCCCAUCGGCUCCUCGCGCCCCGAGCGCAUCCGCGACCGCGACCGCCGCGGCUCGCGCAGCCCCCCGCCGCGCCGCCGCCACUCGCCGCCGUCCAGGAGGUCCCCGUCGCCGCCCUUCAAGCGGUCCAGGCGGGACGACGGGUACGACCGCCGAGGAGGUCGCGGCAGCCCCCCACCACGGUACGACCGUGGCGGAGGCAGAGGUGGGUACGACGAUGACCGGUACCACGGCAGGCAUCGUGCUUCAGAUUGGCCUGAUUCUAGAUUUGGGGCACCGAAUGAUGGUCCUGGGAAUACCCAAAGGGAAGGCUUAAUGACCUACAAACAGUUCAUUCAAGUUCUUGAGGAUGAUGUAUCACCAGCUGAAGCUGAGAGCAGGUACCAAGAGUACAAGACGGAAUACAUCACUACCCAGAAACGUGCUUAUUUUGAUCUCCACAAGAAUGAGGACUGGUUGAAAGACAAGUACCAUCCAACCAACUUAUUAUCUGUUAUUGAAAGGAGGAAUGAACGCUGUAAAGUAGUCGCUAAGGAUUUCUUUCUUGAUUUGCAAAAUGGAACUCUGGACCUUGGCCCUGGAAUAAUUGCGUCUGCAGCAAAUAAAUCAGAAAAUGGCAAUGAUGGAAACUCCGAGGAUGAUGCAGAUGGUGACAAAAGAAGAAAACAAAGCAGAGGUUCUUCAAAAGAAACAGAUCCUCUUUCUGCUGCUCCUAAGGCUCAUCCGGUCAGCUCUGAACCUCGACGAAUUCAAACUGACAUAGAACGAACCCUAGGUCUUGUCCGUAGGCUGGACACCGAGAAGGGUAUUCAGGGAAAUGUCUUGUCAAGUGGUGAUCAUGAGAAGUCGGAUGUAGACAAAUCACAUAUGGGAUCUAUGGGCCCUAUAGUUAUAGUCCGAGGCUUAACAACUGUCAAGGGCCUUGAAGGUGUUGAGCUCCUUGACACCCUUCUUACAUAUUUAUGGCGUAUUCAUGGAGUUGAUUACUAUGGCAUGUCCGAGACGAACGAGGCAAAAGGCCUUCGUCAUGUGAGAACUGAUAAUAAGACUCCUAGUACAACUAAUAUCAAUGCUGCUGAUUGGGAGAAGAAGCUGGAUACUUACUGGCAGGAAAGGUUGACUGGUCAAGAUCCCAUGGUUAUAUUAACGGCCAAGGAUAAAAUUGAUGCAGCAGCUGCUGAAGUCCUUGAACCUCAUGUCAGGAAAAUAAGGGAUGAGAAGUAUGGAUGGAAAUAUGGCUGUGGAGCCAAGGGCUGUACAAAACUUUUCCAUGCUCCUGAGUUUGUUUACAAGCAUUUGAGGCUCAAGCAUCCAGAGAUUGUGUUAGAAGUUACUUCAAACCUCCGGGAGGAUAUUUAUUCCCAAAAUUACAUGAGUGACCCUAAUGCACCAGGUGGAACACCAGUUAUGCAGCAAUCUGCAGCAGACAAAUCAAGGCGGAGAUCUGACAAUGGUAUGGAUAGUCGUCUGAGAUAUGACCGUGGCAAUCGCAGAGAAUAUGACAGGGCAGAUAGAGAUGGAGGCAGACAUGGUAGAGGUGAUGGCUCUCCAAGCCGUGAUGGACCUGACGAUCAGAUGUUUGAUUCCUUCCGUGGAAGAGGCUCCAAUGCUCCUUUUUCGGCUGAAUUCCCUGCUCCACCGAUAUUGAUGCCUGUUCCCGGUGCCGGUCCAUUGGGACCAUUUGUUCCUGCACCUCCAGAAAUAGCCAUGCAUAUGCUGAGAGAGCAAGGACCUUCCCCAUUCGAACCAAAUGGCGGACCUCAUGGCAACUCAGGAGUGCUUGGAUCGAUGAUGGGUGGGGGCCCAGCACCAAUUAUAGCCAUGCCACCAUCUUUCCAUCAUGAUCCUCGUCGUUUGCGAAGCUAUAAUGAUCUCGAUGCCCCUGACGAGGAAGUUACUGUUCUUGACUACAGAAGUUUGUAG
This 2103-nucleotide ribosomal RNA is filed under the name Triticum aestivum (bread wheat). RNAcentral describes it as "partial small subunit ribosomal RNA". The record is from RNAcentral. Lineage: Eukaryota; Viridiplantae; Streptophyta; Magnoliopsida; Poales; Poaceae.